Odocoileus virginianus texanus is the source of this 995-nucleotide non-coding RNA. The record is from RefSeq and is a predicted model, not a curated record. Lineage: Eukaryota; Metazoa; Chordata; Mammalia; Artiodactyla; Cervidae.
ACAUGGUCAAAGGCAGAAUGUCCGUUCACACAGCUGCUCGAGAGACCUCUGUUCCCUGCCGUGGGACGUCUCCACAGGCAUGUGGGAUCUCGGUUCCCUCACCAGGGAUCGAACCCGAGUCCUCUGUACUGGAAGCUCGAAGUCGUAACCACUGGGGCAUCAAGGAAGUUCUCUUAUUCUCUUUACUGGAUUUCCCAGGGCUGGAUAUGGAGGCUGGUGGAAGAGUCUUCGUAAAGGUGAAAUGAUGGGAUCAAGGUUUCUGGCCUCAUGUUCCUCCACAGAAUUAGCACUCUCUCCAAAAUGCAUUUCUCUAGUGCUAACAAGGCCAUAAAGUGAAGGGGCUUCUAGGGUUUGUAAGAGGAUGCUGAAGUGGGACCUUGGAAAUGAAGAGUCCCUGACUCCUCAGAAGGUUUUCUGGAAGUUCAGUCUUCAAUAUUACUUUUCCUUUUUGCCGUGGAAGAUUUAGAAACAUAAUUCUACUUCAGACUUCUCAAGUGGCUUCGGCUUUGGAUGUAUAAGCCAACAUCUUCUUCACUGUCUCCGUUUCAUCAUCAUGAAGUAACCAGACUUCUCUCCUGAUUCACAAGAAGCUGGGCAUCAUUGGUUGAGGUUGGGGGGAAGGUGUGCCCUAGAGGCACCCAGCAGAAUUCCUCAAUCCAUCAGCUCACCUAUCAACACCUUUCACCUGAACCAUUAAACAGAACUAUUGGAAACGUGAGAGCCCGCCACCUAAGACCACGUCGUCUUGCCCUCUGUACAGAAAUGGAACCACUCCCUCGAACUGGCUUUCUCGAAGAGCUAGAGAAAUGCUAAACAGUAACCGAUCUGGAGGACGAAAACAAUGUGGCACUAAUUGUUCAGUUUUCUCCAGGUCACGAGCGGAGGAGGCUGGCUCCGGGCUGCUCAGGCCAGCGCGCGGCCAGACCGUCUUUGAACUGCAGGUGAAGAGGAGGCGCCCAAGCCUCAAGGAUGCUCCCAACACUCGGAUGGGGCGG